CAUCCUCCAAGGCUAAAUACUCCUGACUGACCGAUAGUGAACCAGUACCGUGAGGGAAAGGCGAAAAGAACCCCGGCGAGGGGAGUGAAAAAGAACCUGAAACCGUGUACGUACAAGCAGUGGGAGCACCCUUUGGGGUGUGACUGCGUACCUUUUGUAUAAUGGGUCAGCGACUUAUAUUCUGUAGCAAGGUUAACCGUAUAGGGGAGCCGUAGGGAAACCGAGUCUUAACCGGGCGUUAAGUUGCAGGGUAUAGACCCGAAACCCGGUGAUCUAGCCAUGGGCAGGUUGAAGGUUGGGUAACACUAACUGGAGGACCGAACCGACUAAUGUUGAAAAAUUAGCGGAUGACCUGUGGCUGGGGGUGAAAGGCCAAUCAAACCGGGAGAUAGCUGGUUCUCCCCGAAAGCUAUUUAGGUAGCGCCUCGUGAAUUCAUCUCCGGGGGUAGAGCACUGUUUCGGCUAGGGGGCCAUCCCGGCUUACCAACCCGAUGCAAACUGCGAAUACCGGAGAAUGUUAUCACGGGAGACACACGGCGGGUGCUAACGUCCGUCGUGAAGAGGGAAACAACCCAGACCGCCAGCUAAGGUCCCAAAGUCAUGGUUAAGUGGGAAACGAUGUGGGAAGGCCCAGACAGCCAGGAUGUUGGCUUAGAAGCAGCCAUCAUUUAAAGAAAGCGUAAUAGCUCACUGGUCGAGUCGGCCUGCGCGGAAGAUGUAACGGGGCUAAACCAUGCACCGAAGCUGCGGCAGCGA
This 756-nucleotide ribosomal RNA is filed under the name Salmonella enterica subsp. enterica serovar Heidelberg. Its description in RNAcentral is "bacterial LSU rRNA". It matches the Rfam family "Bacterial large subunit ribosomal RNA", at positions 454 to 1211 of the family's 2925-position model. The record is from RNAcentral. Lineage: Bacteria; Pseudomonadati; Pseudomonadota; Gammaproteobacteria; Enterobacterales; Enterobacteriaceae.